GAUGAAUGCUGGCGGCGUGCCUAAUACAUGCAAGUCGAGCGAACAGAUAAGGAGCUUGCUCCUUUGACGUUAGCGGCGGACGGGUGAGUAACACGUGGGUAACCUACCUAUAAGACUGGGAUAACUUCGGGAAACCGGAGCUAAUACCGGAUAACAUUUGGAACCGCAUGGUUCUAAAGUGAAAGAUGUUUUUGCUAUCACUUAUAGAUGGACCCGCGCCGUAUUAGCUAGUUGGUAAGGUAACGGCUUACCAAGGCGACGAUACGUAGCCGACCUGAGAGGGUGAUCGGCCACACUGGAACUGAGACACGGUCCAGACUCCUACGGGAGGCAGCAGUAGGGAAUCUUCCGCAAUGGGCGAAAGCCUGACGGAGCAACGCCGCGUGAGUGAUGAAGGGUUUCGGCUCGUAAAACUCUGUUAUUAGGGAAGAACAAAUGUGUAAGUAACUGUGCACGUCUUGACGGUACCUAAUCAGAAAGCCACGGCUAACUACGUG
Molecule: ribosomal RNA, 497 nt
Filed under: uncultured bacterium
Lineage: Bacteria
Description: partial 16S ribosomal RNA
Rfam family: Bacterial small subunit ribosomal RNA
Source: RNAcentral